Molecule: ribosomal RNA, 648 nt
Filed under: uncultured bacterium
Lineage: Bacteria
Description: bacterial SSU rRNA
Rfam family: Bacterial small subunit ribosomal RNA
Source: RNAcentral
ACAACAGUUGGAAACGACUGCUAAUACCGCAUAAGCCCACAGCUCGGCAUCGAGCAGAGGGAAAAGGAGCAAUCCGCUUUGAGAUGGCCUCGCGUCCGAUUAGCUAGUUGGUGAGGUAAUGGCCCACCAAGGCGGCGAUCGGUAGCCGGACUGAGAGGUUGAACGGCCACAUUGGGACUGAGACACGGCCCAGACUCCUACGGGAGGCAGCAGUGGGGAAUAUUGCACAAUGGGGGAAACCCUGAUGCAGCGACGCCGCGUGGAGGAAGAAGGUCUUCGGAUUGUAAACUCCUGUUGUUGAGGAAGAUAAUGACGGUACUCAACAAGGAAGUGACGGCUAACUACGUGCCAGCAGCCGCGGUAAAACGUAGGUCACAAGCGUUGUCCGGAAUUACUGGGUGUAAAGGGAGCGCAGGCGGGAAGACAAGUUGGAAGUGAAAUCCAUGGGCUCAACCCAUGAACUGCUUUCAAAACUGUUUUUCUUGAGUAGUGCAGAGGCAGGCGGAAUUCCCGGUGUAGCGGUGGAAUGCGUAGAUAUCGGGAGGAACACCAGUGGCGAAGGCGGCCUACUGGGCACCAACUGACGCUGAGGCUCGAAAGUGUGGGUAGCAAACAGGAUUAGAUACCCUGGUAGUCCACACUGUAAAC